Non-coding RNA from Hordeum vulgare subsp. vulgare (domesticated barley), 173 nucleotides. The record is from Rfam. NCBI's taxonomy places the organism in Eukaryota, Viridiplantae, Streptophyta, Magnoliopsida, Poales, Poaceae.
AGUCGGAAAGAGAAAGAAAAGAGGGCCUAAGAGCUGUGGGAAUGGGAACAUGAAGGAAAGCCUAACUUAGCUUUGUUUUCACCUCUAGUGUUGGAGGUGAGAACUCAAUUUAGUGCUUCCCGAUGCCUUCCAUUCCUAUUGUUCUCAAGCACUCCUUCCUCUUUCCUUUUUGA